AUUGAACGCUGGCGGCAGGCCUAACACAUGCAAGUCGAGCGGAUGAAGGGAGCUUGCUCCUGGAUUCAGCGGCGGACGGGUGAGUAAUGCCUAGGAAUCUGCCUGGUAGUGGGGGAUAACGUCCGGAAACGGGCGCUAAAACCGCAUACGUCCUGAGGGAGAAAGUGGGGGAUCUUCGAACCUCACGCUAUCAGAUGAGCCUAGGUCGGAUUAGCUAGUUGGUGGGGUAAAGGCCUACCAAGGCGACGAUCCGUAACUGGUCUGAGAGGAUGAUCAGUCACACUGGAACUGAGACACGGUCCAGACUCCUACGGGAGGCAGCAGUGGGGAAUAUUGGACAAUGGGCGAAAGCCUGAUCCAGCCAUGCCGCGUGUGUGAAGAAGGUCUUCGGAUUGUAAAGCACUUUAAGUUGGGAGGAAGGGCAGUAAGUUAAUACCUUGCUGUUUUGACGUUACCAACAGAAUAAGCACCGGCUAACUUCGUG
This 484-nucleotide ribosomal RNA is filed under the name uncultured bacterium. Its description in RNAcentral is "partial 16S ribosomal RNA". It matches the Rfam family "Bacterial small subunit ribosomal RNA", at positions 30 to 507 of the family's 1533-position model. The record is from RNAcentral.